RNAcentral lists this long non-coding RNA (1121 nucleotides) under Hordeum vulgare. RNAcentral describes it as "long non-coding RNA (HVUL_LNC019663)". The record is from RNAcentral. Lineage: Eukaryota; Viridiplantae; Streptophyta; Magnoliopsida; Poales; Poaceae.
UGCAGAGGCAGAACCUUGAAGACCAUCCCCAAUUCGCAUCGGGAAUAUUUUCAAAAUAGAAAAAGCGAGUUUAACUUGAUCUUUAAAAUAAAAUUUGGCCAGUAGAGUUUCACUUGAUUUGUUUUGCAGUUUCUACUAGCAUUAGUGCAUUAUUGAUGUAUGAUGUUACUCGCAGAUUAACUGAAUGCAUGUCAGUUAGUUCCUUCCAAAUAUUGCCUGAUGUCUGCAUUGUGGAGUGAACAAUCUGUUGUCCCAUGACUAUCUAGUGUUUAGUUGAAAUAACUGGAGCUUCUGUCCGAUGCCUACAGCAAUGCCAAGAAAAUUUAGGGUAGUGUAGGAGUUAGGAUAUACAGAUUUAAUCUUUUUAGAUGAAAGGGAGGAGCUCCCCGGCUCCCAUUUUAUUAAGAGGAAGCCAAAAACCCAAGUACCACAAGCCUUUAAAAGAAGGCAGUUCACACACCCAAAACUAAAACCACUCCACUACAGGAGGCCUAACAGAAGUCUCACUGCCAAAUGAAAACAAAUUCCGAUCCAGGGCAAGCCCAGAUGCAUAGCAACGUUAUCAGAACCAACACCCAACACCACUACUCCAAUUACAGGCAAACUGUCGAGGCUAGGAUGCCAAAGUCGAGCGUGGAGACGGGGCUUGGCACAGGGAUGACGGCAGUCUCAGCUAAAGACGGCUCGCAGUCCUUGAACUCCGUUGGGGGAAUGUCCAUCACCGUCACCCCCACGUGACUAGGAAUGGCCUUUUGAUCAGUUGUAGCAGCUGUUCAUCGAGGUUCUCCAUCCGGGACCAGAAUAUGUUCCUUGUAAAUCAGCUUCCAUUUCCUGACUCCACCAAAUCUGUUUGACAGUAAUCCAUCCACCAAAUCCUAGGUCGUAACUAAUAAGGCCUUUUGAGCUUUAAAGCCAUCCAUCAAAUCUGUUUUUCAUAAAUCCAUGGCACAUCAUUAAAGAUCAUGUUAUUUCUAUGUUUCUACUAGUUGGGUGCCUGUGCGUUGCCACGGUCUAGAUUAUUUUUAUAUGCAAUAAGCUUUAUGACAUGUGCAUAACGCACUGUUUAUAUAAAUGCGAUAACCUCUAAGAGAUGUGCAUAAGAUUUAAGAUUGCAACCCAAC